UGGUCAACAUCACAAACAUUU
RNAcentral lists this small nuclear RNA (21 nucleotides) under Arabidopsis thaliana (thale cress). RNAcentral's name for it is "snRNA_13881". Lineage: Eukaryota; Viridiplantae; Streptophyta; Magnoliopsida; Brassicales; Brassicaceae. The record is from RNAcentral.